AAUUCAACGAAACCUUCAUUUUAGUGCAAUAUACCUGGAUUUUCUCAAAAGAUAGCUCCUGGAAAAGAAAGACACCUUUCAGCAUUCCUCCAAACUCAGAAUGCGUAUGCAGGCAAGCGCGGUGGCAAUGGUAGCUGUAUGCAUGCUGCUUCGGGGCUCCUGUGCUACGUUCGUUGAUUUCCCAACAAUGACAAGAUUUUGUCAGAGGAGGGAAACAGUAAAACCUCGAGGAUUUCGGAGGUAAUUUUACAGCAAUGAUUCACAUUCCUGCGAGGAGUUUUAUUGACAAAAGUAAAGCUGGUCUUAAGGCGUUAUGGCAUGACCACAUGACAAGUAGUUUGUAUGGAUUUUUUUUAUCCCCUCAGAAGCUAGAAUGAGAUUAUUUCACUAUGUUGACUAGAAACAGUAUUACAGAAGGGUUCCGAUACCCCAUUUCCACCCUCAUAUUUGAUUAUAUUCUCAUAUACUUCCACAAAUUAAAAACAAACAAACAAACAAACAAAAAACA
Pecten maximus is the source of this 508-nucleotide long non-coding RNA. RefSeq lists it as uncharacterized. NCBI's taxonomy places the organism in Eukaryota, Metazoa, Mollusca, Bivalvia, Pectinida, Pectinidae. The transcript has 4 exons. The record is from RefSeq and is a predicted model, not a curated record.